This 504-nucleotide ribosomal RNA is filed under the name Salmonella enterica subsp. enterica serovar Enteritidis. RNAcentral's name for it is "partial 23S ribosomal RNA". It matches the Rfam family "Bacterial large subunit ribosomal RNA", at positions 161 to 707 of the family's 2925-position model. Lineage: Bacteria; Pseudomonadati; Pseudomonadota; Gammaproteobacteria; Enterobacterales; Enterobacteriaceae. The record is from RNAcentral.
AAUCCAUAGGUUAAUGAGGCGAACCGGGGGAACUGAAACAUCUAAGUACCCCGAGGAAAAGAAAUCAACCGAGAUUCCCCCAGUAGCGGCGAGCGAACGGGGAGGAGCCCAGAGCCUGAAUCAGCAUGUGUGUUAGUGGAAGCGUCUGGAAAGGCGCGCGAUACAGGGUGACAGCCCCGUACACAAAAGCGCAUGUGCUGUGAGCUCGAUGAGUAGGGCGGGACACGUGGUAUCCUGUCUGAAUAUGGGGGGACCAUCCUCCAAGGCUAAAUACUCCUGACUGACCGAUAGUGAACCAGUACCGUGAGGGAAAGGCGAAAAGAACCCCGGCGAGGGGAGUGAAAAAGAACCUGAAACCGUGUACGUACAAGCAGUGGGAGCACCCUUUGGGUGUGACUGCGUACCUUUUGUAUAAUGGGUCAGCGACUUAUAUUCUGUAGCAAGGUUAACCGAAUAGGGGAGCCGGAGGGAAACCGAGUCUUAACCGGGCGUUAAGUUGCAGGG